AUUGAACGCUGGCGGCAGGCCUAACACAUGCAAGUCGAACGGUAACAGGAAGAAGCUUGCUUCUUUGCUGACGAGUGGCGGACGGGUGAGUAAUGUCUGGGAAACUGCCUGAUGGAGGGGGAUAACUACUGGAAACGGUAGCUAAUACCGCAUAACGUCGCAAGACCAAAGAGGGGGACCUUCGGGCCUCUUGCCAUCGGAUGUGCCCAGAUGGGAUUAGCUAGUAGGUGGGGUAACGGCUCACCUAGGCGACGAUCCCUAGGUGGUCUGAGAGGAUGACCAGCCACACUGGAACUGAGACACGGUCCAGACUCCUACGGGAGGCAGCAGUGGGGAAUAUUGCACAAUGGGCGCAAGCCUGAUGCAGCCAUGCCGCGUGUAUGAAGAAGGCCUUCGGGUUGUAAAGUACUUUCAGCGGGGAGGAAGGGAGUAAAGUUAAUACCUUUGCUCAUUGACGUUACCCGCAGAAGAAGCACCGGCUAACUCCGUG
This 490-nucleotide ribosomal RNA is filed under the name uncultured bacterium. RNAcentral describes it as "partial 16S ribosomal RNA". It matches the Rfam family "Bacterial small subunit ribosomal RNA", at positions 30 to 507 of the family's 1533-position model. The record is from RNAcentral.